This 234-nucleotide ribosomal RNA is filed under the name uncultured Lactobacillus sp. Its description in RNAcentral is "partial 16S ribosomal RNA". It matches the Rfam family "Bacterial small subunit ribosomal RNA", at positions 128 to 354 of the family's 1533-position model. The record is from RNAcentral. Lineage: Bacteria; Bacillati; Bacillota; Bacilli; Lactobacillales; Lactobacillaceae.
GCCCAAGAGAUCGGGAUAACACCUGGAAACAGAUGCUAAUACCGGAUAACAACANAUGAUGCCUAUCAACUGUUUAAAAGAUGGUUCUGCUAUCACUCUUGGAUGGACCUGCGGUGCAUUAGCUAGUUGGUAGGGUAACGGCCUACCAAGGCGAUGAUGCAUAGCCGAGUUGAGAGACUGAUCGGCCACAUUGGGACUGAGACACAGCCCAAACUCCUACGGGAGGCAGCAGAA